Molecule: non-coding RNA, 31 nt
Filed under: Mus musculus (house mouse)
Lineage: Eukaryota; Metazoa; Chordata; Mammalia; Rodentia; Muridae
Source: RNAcentral
UAGCAUUUGAUAGGCAGAAAAAGAAUUGCUA